Molecule: ribosomal RNA, 253 nt
Filed under: uncultured bacterium
Lineage: Bacteria
Description: partial 16S ribosomal RNA
Rfam family: Bacterial small subunit ribosomal RNA
Source: RNAcentral
UACAGAGGGGGCCAGCGUUAUUCGGAAUUAUUGGGCGUAAAGGGCGCGUAGGCGGCCUUGCGUGUCUUUCGUGAAAUCCCUCGGCUUAACUGAGGACGUGCGGAAGAAACUGCAGGGCUGGAGUCCGGGAGAGGGGGGUGGAAUUCCCAGUGUAGCGGUGAAAUGCGUAGAUAUUGGGAGGAACACCGGUGGCGAAGGCGGCCCCCUGGACCGGUACUGACGCUGAGGAGCGAAAGCGUGGGGAGCGAACAGG